ACUAAGCCCUUAGAUGUUAGCCCGUUCUCUCUUCAUUCAUUAGGGAAAAAGGAUUAAACACCUGCAUUAAAUGACUCAGCAUCUGUAAAGUACAAGGACAGUACCUGAUGCAUAGCAAGAACUCAGUAAAUGUAGCUGCAAUUAUCAUCAUUUGGAUGAUGGUUUCCGUUUCACUGUAAAAAUAUCCUUAAAUGAAUGGUUUCCCAUCCUGCCUACUUUCCUGGGGAAACAAACAUGAAAAGAUGGUGGGUUCUUUACCACUCACGCCUCCUGGGAAGCCCCAGCAAGACCAGUCUCUCCCUCAGCUGGGACCCGAAUACAACCUGCAGCAAAGAGUAAAGCAGAAUCACCAGGUUUUACUAUCAUGCUGCAUUAAGCAUCCUGGGGCUUCAUCUGUUCUUACGGGUUUUGAAGAAAACCUUCCCAGCAACAUAAAAGGAUGGCAUGGAUGUGGUUCCAUAAAAGAGGCUUCUGAAUUGAAGACGACAAUCUUCUUGAUGGGAGCGGCAUUGUACAAAGCAUCUUAGCGUCUCUUGCAGUGAUCAAAUAUUAAUAGCAACCAUAAUAGGAGGAACAGCCAACACUUA
Long non-coding RNA from Bos taurus (domestic cattle), 587 nucleotides. NCBI's taxonomy places the organism in Eukaryota, Metazoa, Chordata, Mammalia, Artiodactyla, Bovidae. The record is from Ensembl.